Cyprinus carpio carpio is the source of this 1075-nucleotide long non-coding RNA. The record is from Ensembl. NCBI's taxonomy places the organism in Eukaryota, Metazoa, Chordata, Actinopteri, Cypriniformes, Cyprinidae.
AUUGCAUAAAGUAAAAUGGUAUAUCAAAUAAUUUUGUUAUAUCUUAUAUAACAUAGUUGAGAAUCAUCCUUAUACAAAGUUUGGUAUAAAAAAUAAAAAAUCCUGAAACCUAAAAAUUGAUUUUUUUUUUUUAAAACAUUGUUUUUGCCUUUCCAUGUCAUUUCAUGUAAUUUUAUUUUUUAAAGAAACUGAGUCCUGGUGUCCUCUACAGAGGACAUAGCAUAACAUGAAUAAAAUAUAAUUUUUCAACAAAAAAACAUACCCUCUCAGGAGGAUAAAAACAAAAAAAUAAGGGGCCCCAACACAGAUCCUUGGGGAACCCCUUUUAUUAUUUGUUUCAUCUAAAUAAUCUCAUGAGUAAAUAAUGACACAUCUUUCUUUUAUUCCUUUAACACAAUCAUCACCUAGCGAGACAGAACCCUGCUAAACCUUCACCGCCAGUUGCCUUCAUCUGUGUGCGGUGGAUCUUUCAUCUCUAUACUGUAUGUCGUGCUCCACCCCAGGAGGCUUUUCCUUCACCUCCCCACUCCUCUGCAAUUAAGGCUGACAGGACAGCUUUCUCUGUUCUGCUGAUGCCAGUACUUAUCAAGAAUGAGAGAGAGAGAGAGGGAGAGGGAGAGAGAGAGUUCAGGUAUGGAAAGAAGUCAGUCAAACACAUGGAUGUUGUUCACAUAAACCAGUAUGUGUGAGAGAGAGUGAAACUGGCAGAGCCAUCAAAAGCUAGAAAAAAAAUAUAUUUUGAAACAGAAGUAAACACUGGAAUGUAUUUUUUGUCGCUGUGGUCUGUAAAACAAUCAUUCCAAUAAAGUACUUUGAAACUGACAUUGAAUAAAACUGACACAGGCAAAGAGAGAACAUUUGACUCGUCCCCUGACACAGUAUUUAACUCAUUAUGGGGUCUUUUAGUGUAAGGGGCCACCAAGAGAGCAAACAACCAAUUCAAUAAAUGUCAACUUGAAUCUGUCAGGCGAUGUGAGGAAUCGCGCCAGCUUCAGUCACCCAGAUACAACAGCUUGAAACAAAGAUUUUUUCUUUCUGCUCCUCAUAUAUAUCUUUCCUGUCUUUUUCUGCAGCU